This is a long non-coding RNA of Gallus gallus (chicken), 2891 nucleotides long. Lineage: Eukaryota; Metazoa; Chordata; Aves; Galliformes; Phasianidae. The record is from Ensembl.
CACGGCACUCUCGCCCCUUCCCUCCGGGCGCCUCCAUCCCGCGGGGGGAGCGGGUUGUCCAGGCCUCUCCACUCCGGGUCCUGCGAACCGCCCUGCCCGGGCUUCCGCCCUCCAGCCCAGGGAAACAACAGCGGGGCUGCCGCCUCCUGCUUGUACAAGGCCGCCGCAGACCCUCCGCACUGCCGUAGAGCCGGCGCACCUCCCUCCCCCCCAUUGCGGGAGCGUUGGUUGGCCCUCCCGGGGCACUCUGGGAACUGGAGGGGCUGCGUUCUCGUUUCCGCUGCGCGUGGGGUGGCGGUGCGUGCUCGCUAAGGAUGCUCCGCGGGGCGGUCGGCGCUUGCCGCUGGGGCCUGAGAACCGGGAGGUGCGGGGGCGAGGCGAGGCGAGGCGAGUGAGGCGGCUGGCCGCUAAGGGGCGGGGCGGGGAGCGGUUGCUGGGAGAUAUGGCGGCGGGCCUGCCUCCCCCCGCAACCGCGUGCUCCCCGCCUUGGCCCAGUGCUGUGCGUGAGGGGAUCGGCCGUGCGCGUUGAUGACCACCCAUAGUCUGUCCAGACCAGAAGAAGAACCUUUUGGAAGAUGGUAAUUUCCUGUUGAUAUCAUCUUCUGCUGAACUCUUUGGGCAGGUUUCUGCUGUGUGGCCAGCACUGCGGUGUCAGGUGUAUGGCAUCCACUGACAGACCUUCUUAAAUGAGGACUUUAUUGAUGUGUGCAACUUGAGUGGGACUGUUGCACGUAGCUGCCCUUUUGCUCGUCCUUCAGAGAUGUUAGUGGGUUUCUAUCCACUUAAUCCCUGGUUGCUGUGGUAGGCAGCAGGAAGCGGUGUGGCAGAGGCACCCGUCGCAUUGGAAGUGCUGAGAAUGAUGGGGGUUUCUGGGAGGAAGGGAGGCUGAGUGCUGUCUGACCUGUGAAGCUGAACAACUAUUUGCUGUAUUUGUUUUCAGACUCCUCAUACUGUACUGCUUCGGUAUCUCAGUCUUUAAAGUGAAAACAUUAUUUUUUUCCUUCCUUUCAAGUGAAAGAAGUGGAAGUUUGGCAGUGGCCGAAGCAAGCAACAGUGCAACCACGUGACAUCGCAGGAGUACGGUGUGCUUGUAACUUUCUUACUAAGCAAUGCUUGCUGUAUAAAAACAUUGUUUACUGAUGAAUUUUGGAGAAUUUGCAUGUUGGGGAAUUGAAACCUUUCAGUUUUGCUGAGAAAAAUGAUCAGUUUUAAUACUCCCAUUUUUGCCUUUGUGUUGCCCAUUCAUUGCCUUCUAAAAUGAAUGUGGUGUCAAAAAAGGCAAACAAGAAUUCUUGCUCAAGCUGUGUAAGGGGCUGGCUAUCUGCCUUUCUCCUCCCUGUUUUUGCAAGGACAGAAAAGCCUGUAGAAACUGCAUGGUUGGGCAAUUGCAUAGUAGAUUUUAUGCGUCAGAGUUUUCAAAAGAAGAAUUUGAUAUUUUAAAAGGGAGAAAAACUGGAUUGUUGAUGGCCAUUCGUCAGACUGUUCAGCUGUCCUGUCUACUAGGAUAACGUGAACAGUUGUGCUGUGAACACGCUGUACAUAACUUUCAGACUCCUGCAGAGGCCUCUGGUUUCUCUUAGUGCAAAUAGGUAUCUGCAGCUUCACAACACUCAGCAAAAGAGAAUACUUUUGCCUUUAUGCAUUAGCUUUUUGUUAUUAAUGGCUGUGGGAGCAGAGUAGCAUAAAGCGAAUACCUUUGCAGGACUGCUCCAUAUUGGUCAUCAAUGUCUUCUGCUGUUGUGCUACAGAAAAAAACAGUGUUCUUUGAUACCCUUUUGAAAGCGUAGAGUAUACUGUAUCCCUAGCAGAUGUGGCUCUUACCUUGGUAAUUAGCAAAGUUUAUUCUUACUGGAGUGCUGAACUCUCUUCUUACAGAGUGUGUUUGUGCAGUAGCCAUGGGUGAUCUUCCUGGCAUCACAGGGAUAGGCAUGUGGUGAAAGCUUCUAAGCAUGUGAAGAGUGUGUACUAGAAGGUGACGAAGUACUGACACCCCAGCUCUCCUGCAGUUUUAUGAGGAAGAAUUGUUAGAACCAGCCUGAAACCAGUGGCAAUGCAAGACUACUCCCUUAGAAACAAAAAGCUGUUAAGGACUUGGGAAUGUUAAGCCUUUAAAUGCUUACACUAACACGAGUUAUUUCUAACUGUAUUAGAACAGUGCUUAUGUAGACAUAAAAAAAAAAAAAAAUAAAGAUUUAUGUUUCUGUUAUUAGAACUCUUGUCUUUUCCAAGCUGUAUUAACUGCCAAACAGAAGCAACUGCCAAGACUUGUUUUUUAUCAUUUUUGGGUUACCAGUUCACUACUUUGGAUUAAAAUACAGGAGUUAAUUAGUGUAUAGAACGUAAUCACUGAAACCAUGCCCCUCUGUAGCACUCAGAGUGGGUUAGCUGUUAGAUGUUGUGGUGAGGAAAAGCAGAAAUUUAAAUUUAGCAAACCUAUGUUUAAAAAUCACAAGAAAGGUGUUUUUCCAACAUGAAGAACUGCAAGCUAGUUCUGUAACUAGCUACAUAGAUCAGCUACAUGUUGUGAUACUUCAAGUAAAGUUAAAGUAGAGUGAAAUGCACUUCAAGAACAGCAAAUUAAUGUCCUAUUUUUUUGUUUGUUUUCUGAGAGGAAAGUUCAUUAAUUCAUUGUAUCAGAAAAGCAAAUGCUAAAUUUCUGUAUCUCAAAUUGUCUUACUGUGUAUUAAUGUAAGCAAAUUAUUAAUGCAACAUCUAAGCACAAGUGGGAGUGAAUUUCUGGUUUCUCAAAAGGGAUGGCAGUUUAGACAAGCAAUAAAUUUGUAGUGUUUUAGAAUGUAGAAAGCUCAAGGUUGUGCUAGGGACUGUACUUCCUGAAGACAGCAUCUGUUCAAGUGUUUUGCGCCUGGGUCUUUGUUUUUGCAUGGCGGGAC